This 254-nucleotide ribosomal RNA is filed under the name uncultured bacterium. RNAcentral describes it as "partial 16S ribosomal RNA". It matches the Rfam family "Bacterial small subunit ribosomal RNA", at positions 524 to 776 of the family's 1533-position model. The record is from RNAcentral.
UACGUAGGGUGCGAGCGUUGUCCGGAAUUAUUGGGCGUAAAGAGCUCGUAGGCGGUGUGUCACGUCGUUCGUGAAAACCUGCAGCUUAACUGUGGGCGUGCGGUCGAUACGGGCAUCACUGGAGUUCGGCAGGGGAGACUGGAAUUCCUGGUGUAGCGGUGAAAUGCGCAGAUAUCAGGAGGAACACCGGUGGCGAAGGCGACAUCCUGGACCGGUAUUGACGCUGAGGCGCGAAAGCCAGGGGAGCAAACGGG